RNAcentral lists this ribosomal RNA (479 nucleotides) under uncultured bacterium. Its description in RNAcentral is "bacterial SSU rRNA". It matches the Rfam family "Bacterial small subunit ribosomal RNA", at positions 28 to 506 of the family's 1533-position model. The record is from RNAcentral.
GACGAACGCUGGCGGCGUGCCUAACACAUGCAAGUCAACUUGACUGAAGGAGCAAUCUGACAGUAGAGUGGCGCAAGGGUGCGUAACGCGUAAGUAACUUGCCCCAAGGUAAGGAAUAACGUCGAGAAAUCGGCGCUAAUUCCUCAUAAUGCAGCGGAUCCGCAUGGAUAUGUUGUUAAAGGUUUACCGCCUUGGGAUAGGCUUGCGUCUGAUUAGUUAGUUGGUGUGGUAACGGCACACCAAGGCUACGAUCAGUAACUGGUCUGAGAGGAUGAUCAGUCACACUGGAACUGAGACACGGUCCAGACUCCUACGGGAGGCAGCAGUGAGGAAUAUUGGGCAAUGCUCGAAAGAGUGACCCAGCAACGCCGCGUGGAGGAUGAAGGUAUUCUAUAUCGUAAACUCCUGUGAGAGCAGACGAAAGACAGAUUAUUAAUCUGGAUGACUGUAUGCUCAGAGGAAGCCCCGGCUAACUACGU